GGUAACGGCCUACCAAGGCUACGAUCAGUAGGGGUUCUGAGAGGAUUAACCCCCACACUGGUACUGAGACACGGACCAGACUCCUACGGGAGGCAGCAGUGAGGAAUAUUGGUCAAUGGGCGGAAGCCUGAACCAGCCAUCCCGCGUGAAGGAAGACAGCCUUACGGGUUGUAAACUUCUUUUCUGUCAGAAGAAUAAGCUUGUCGAGACGUGUGAUGCCGGUAUGACAGGAAUAAGCAUCGGCUAACUCCGUGCCAGCAGCCGCGGUAAUACGGAGGAUGCAAGCGUUAUCCGGAUUUAUUGGGUUUAAAGGGUGCGCAGGUUGUUUGAUAAGUCAGUGGUGAAAGUCUGUCGCUUAACGGUAGGAUUGCCAUUGAUACUGUUGGACUUGAAUAUGGAUGAGGUAGGCGGAAUGUGUAGUGUAGCGGUGAAAUGCAUAGAUAUUACACAGAACACCGAUUGCGAAGGCAGCUUACUAAUCCAUCAUUGACGCUGAGGCACGAAAGCGUGGGGAUCAAACAGGAUUAGAUACCCUGGUAGUCCACGCCGUAAACGAUGAUCACUCGCUGUUUGCGAUAUACAGUAAGCGGCUAAGCGAAAGCGUUA
This 606-nucleotide ribosomal RNA is filed under the name uncultured bacterium. RNAcentral describes it as "bacterial SSU rRNA". It matches the Rfam family "Bacterial small subunit ribosomal RNA", at positions 256 to 862 of the family's 1533-position model. The record is from RNAcentral.